GAUUAAGUUAUUAAGGGCGCACGGUGAAUGCCUUGGCACUAGAAGCCGAUGAAGGACGUUACUAACGACGAUAUGCUUUGGGGAGCUGUAAGUAAGCUGUGAUCCA
This 106-nucleotide ribosomal RNA is filed under the name Staphylococcus marylandisciuri. RNAcentral's name for it is "partial 23S ribosomal RNA". It matches the Rfam family "Bacterial large subunit ribosomal RNA", at positions 1 to 106 of the family's 2925-position model. The record is from RNAcentral. Lineage: Bacteria; Bacillati; Bacillota; Bacilli; Caryophanales; Staphylococcaceae.